RNAcentral lists this ribosomal RNA (558 nucleotides) under uncultured bacterium. RNAcentral's name for it is "partial 16S ribosomal RNA". It matches the Rfam family "Bacterial small subunit ribosomal RNA", at positions 355 to 914 of the family's 1533-position model. The record is from RNAcentral.
UGAGGAAUAUUGGUCAAUGGUCGCAAGACUGAACCAGCCAUGCCGCGUGCAGGAAGACGGUCCUAUGGAUUGUAAACUGCUUUUAUACAGGAAGAAACCCCUCCCACGUGUGGGAGCUUGACGGUACUGUAGGAAUAAGGAUCGGCUAACUCCGUGCCAGCAGCCGCGGUAAUACGGAGGAUCCAAGCGUUAUCCGGAAUCAUUGGGUUUAAAGGGUCCGUAGGCGGUCUUAUAAGUCAGUGGUGAAAGCCCAUCGCUCAACGAUGGAACUGCCAUUGAUACUGUAAGACUUGAAUGCUUAGGAAGUAACUAGAAUAUGUAGUGUAGCGGUGAAAUGCUUAGAUAUUACAUGGAAUACCAAUUGCGAAGGCAGGUUACUACUAAGUGAUUGACGCUGAUGGACGAAAGCGUGGGGAGCGAACAGGAUUAGAUACCCUGGUAGUCCACGCCGUAAACGAUGGAUACUAGCUGUUCGGCGCAAGUUGAGUGGCUAAGCGAAAGUGAUAAGUAUCCCACCUGGGGAGUACGCACGCAAGUGUGAAACUCAAAUGAAUUGAC